AAGGCUUUAAGUUAUUAAACUAAUAGCCUUCAAAGCUAUAAAUAUAAGGAAAUCUUUUAAGUCUUA
RNAcentral lists this transfer RNA (66 nucleotides) under Bithia sp. 1 HNL-2023a. RNAcentral describes it as "tRNA-Trp". The record is from RNAcentral. Lineage: Eukaryota; Metazoa; Arthropoda; Insecta; Diptera; Tachinidae.